This 253-nucleotide ribosomal RNA is filed under the name uncultured bacterium. RNAcentral's name for it is "partial 16S ribosomal RNA". It matches the Rfam family "Bacterial small subunit ribosomal RNA", at positions 524 to 776 of the family's 1533-position model. The record is from RNAcentral.
UACAGGGGGGGCUAGCGUUAUUCGGAAUUAUUGGGCGUAAAGGGCGCGUAGGCGGCCAUGCGUGUCUUCCGUGAAAUCCCUCGGCUUAACUGAGGACGUGCGGAAGAAACUGCAAGGCUCGAGUCCGGGAGAGGGGGGUGGAAUUCCCGGUGUAGCGGUGAAAUGCGCAGAUAUCGGGAAGAACACCCGUGGCGAAGGCGGUUCUCUGGGACGGUACUGACGCUGAGACGCGAAAGCGUGGGGAGCGAACAGG